RNAcentral lists this transfer RNA (72 nucleotides) under Liparis tanakae (Tanaka's snailfish). It matches the Rfam family "tRNA". From Rfam's summary of the family: Transfer RNA (tRNA) molecules are approximately 80 nucleotides in length. Their secondary structure includes four short double-helical elements and three loops (D, anti-codon, and T loops). Lineage: Eukaryota; Metazoa; Chordata; Actinopteri; Perciformes; Liparidae. The record is from Rfam by way of RNAcentral.
GCAUUGGUGGUGUAGUGACUAGCACAUAUGCCUUCGAGGCAGAUGACCUGGCUUCCAUUCCCAGCCAAUGCG